GACGAACGCUGGCGGCGUGCUUAACACAUGCAAGUCGAACGGAAAGGCCCUGCUUUUGUGGGGUGCUCGAGUGGCGAACGGGUGAGUAACACGUGAGUAACCUGCCCUUGACUUUGGGAUAACUUCAGGAAACUGGGGCUAAUACCGGAUAGGAUCUCCUGCUGCAUGGGGGGGGUUGGAAAGUUUCGGCGGUGGGGGAUGGACUCGCAGCUUAUCAGCUUGUUGGUGGGGUAGUGGCUUACCAAGGCUUUGACGGGUAGCCGGCCUGAGAGGGUGACCGGCCACAUUGGGACUGCGAUACGGCCCAGACUCCUACGGGAGGCAGCAGUGGGGAAUAUUGCACAAUGGGCGGAAGCCUGAUGCAGCAACGCCGCGUGCGGGAUGACGGCCUUCGGGUUGUAAACCGCUUUCGACUGUGACGAAGCGUGAGUGACGGUAAUGGGUAAAGAAGCACCGGCUAACUACGUG
Molecule: ribosomal RNA, 468 nt
Filed under: uncultured bacterium
Lineage: Bacteria
Description: partial 16S ribosomal RNA
Rfam family: Bacterial small subunit ribosomal RNA
Source: RNAcentral